This 465-nucleotide ribosomal RNA is filed under the name Vreelandella stevensii. RNAcentral describes it as "partial 16S ribosomal RNA". It matches the Rfam family "Bacterial small subunit ribosomal RNA", at positions 338 to 795 of the family's 1533-position model. The record is from RNAcentral. Lineage: Bacteria; Pseudomonadati; Pseudomonadota; Gammaproteobacteria; Oceanospirillales; Halomonadaceae.
CCUACGGGGGGCAGCAGUGGGGAAUAUUGGACAAUGGGGGGAACCCUGAUCCAGCCAUGCCGCGUGUGUGAAGAAGGCCCUCGGGUUGUAAAGCACUUUCAGUGAGGAAGAACGCCUGGUGGUUAAUACCCAUCAGGAAAGACAUCACUCACAGAAGAAGCACCGGCUAACUCCGUGCCAGCAGCCGCGGUAAUACGGAGGGUGCGAGCGUUAAUCGGAAUUACUGGGCGUAAAGCGCGCGUAGGUGGCUUGAUAAGCCGGUUGUGAAAGCCCCGGGCUCAACCUGGGAACGGCAUCCGGAACUGUCAAGCUAGAGUGCAGGAGAGGAAGGUAGAAUUCCCGGUGUAGCGGUGAAAUGCGUAGAGAUCGGGAGGAAUACCAGUGGCGAAGGCGGCCUUCUGGACUGACACUGACACUGAGGUGCGAAAGCGUGGGUAGCAGACAGGAUUAGAUACCCUGGUAGUC